RNAcentral lists this small RNA (79 nucleotides) under Homo sapiens (human). RNAcentral's name for it is "nc019 non-coding RNA". Lineage: Eukaryota; Metazoa; Chordata; Mammalia; Primates; Hominidae. The record is from RNAcentral.
UAAGAAAUGUGCUAUUACUGUCUUCUUCCUAAAGACAGGGAAGCUCAAAUUAUAGAGUUUAAGAACUUAAGUCAGAAAG